Molecule: ribosomal RNA, 300 nt
Filed under: Ice core clone 49-12
Lineage: Eukaryota
Description: SSU rRNA
Rfam family: Eukaryotic small subunit ribosomal RNA
Source: RNAcentral
AUAUUAAAGUUGUUGCAGUUAAAAAGCUCGUAGUUGAAACUUGGGCCUGGCUGGCGGGUCCGCCUCACCGCGUGCACUCGUCCGGCCGGGCCUUCCUUCUGAAGAACCUCAUGCCCUUCACUGGGCGUGCUGGGGAAUCAGGACUUUUACUUUGAAAAAAUUAGAGUGUUCAAAGCAGGCCUUUGCUCGAAUACGUUAGCAUGGAAUAAUAAAAUAGGGCGUGCGUUUCUAUUUUGUUGGUUUCUAGAGACGCCGCAAUGAUUAACAGGAACAGUCGGGGGCAUCAGUAUUCCGUUGUCA